UGUGACUGCCUCACUACCCCAUGAGUAAUUUCCUGUAUCCAAUCUCAGUGCCCUCCACUUUACAUUACCACCACGCACACGGAUUCGUCUGACUGUCUUGUUAUUUGAGAGCUUAGUAUUAGCAGGCUGGCGGCCAAGUUCAUACUUUCGCUUCUUCCUCCACGAUUUCUUCUUGCCACCAGUAGCACGCCUCUUGUGCAUAGAGUCUCGUGAGAUA
This 217-nucleotide unclassified non-coding RNA is filed under the name Hevea brasiliensis (rubber tree). The record is from RNAcentral. Lineage: Eukaryota; Viridiplantae; Streptophyta; Magnoliopsida; Malpighiales; Euphorbiaceae.